This 253-nucleotide ribosomal RNA is filed under the name uncultured bacterium. RNAcentral describes it as "partial 16S ribosomal RNA". It matches the Rfam family "Bacterial small subunit ribosomal RNA", at positions 524 to 776 of the family's 1533-position model. The record is from RNAcentral.
UACGUAGGGUGCGAGCGUUGUCCGGAAUUAUUGGGCGUAAAGAGCUCGUAGGCGGUUUGUUGCGUCGACUGUGAAAACCUGGGGCUUAACUCUGGGCUUGCAGUCGAUACGGGCAGACUUGAGUUCGGUAGGGGAGACUGGAAUUCCUGGUGUAGCGGUGAAAUGCGCAGAUAUCAGGAAGAACACCCGUGGCUAAGGCGGCUCUCUAGUACGGUACUGACGCUGAGACGCGAAAGCGUGGGGAGCGAACAGG